Peromyscus eremicus (cactus mouse) is the source of this 1262-nucleotide long non-coding RNA. RefSeq lists it as uncharacterized. NCBI's taxonomy places the organism in Eukaryota, Metazoa, Chordata, Mammalia, Rodentia, Cricetidae. The record is from RefSeq and is a predicted model, not a curated record. The transcript has 4 exons.
UUGGCUCACAAGUCUCUUCCACAGAGCUCUUUACGCAGGAACUCACUGUUUUCAUGUCAGUAGAAUUAAUGGGAUUUUGAAAAGACACCAUGUAAUUUUCUUCCAGAACUAAACAAAAUGUCCUGUGAAGGAAGGAGCAUGUAUGAAGUUAAAAGGAGUCUCCAAGAGUGGGUCAAGCUUCUGUCCUGAUUAUUUGCCCUGGAAUGUUCAUUGAGAUUAAGAGCGAAGAGAAAGAUAUUGAAUUGGGCAAGCACAGACACAUGUUCUCAGCAAUAUGAGGAAAGUGAAAACUGAUUUCAUAGAAGCCAAUAGAAGUCUUAUUAGCAGGUGUCGACUACACUGGGUCCAGGAUCCCAGUAUAUACCCGAGCCUUUCUCAGGAGGUCAACGAAAGGGAUAUAUGAUGCUCUGCGGUGCUGAAAAGAGGUGGAUCUGUUAAGUAGAGUGUGAAUUCCUGGGCUAAUUUAGAAAUUCCUGCUGAGAUAAAAGAGCUGGAACCUCCACAUCUGCCAGACCAACUGUCAUGCAGAGUAAAUCUGGUGGGUCUCAAGGUACUGGGUUCCGACCUCACACUCAAGUCAUCAGAAAAGUUUAGUGAGUGGACAUUGAGGUAUCUCUGGGACCGUGAAGACUGUAGCUUUAUCCAAGAGGCAGUUGGGAAGUAGCUCUCUAAUGGAGACUAUUUGGUAACACUGAGGAUGGAGGAAAUCUCAGGCACAUAGGUAAUUUCAAAGUUUGUGAAGCUAAGAGGCAUACUACUGUCAUAGUGUGACAUGAGUCUGUCAGAUGGUUAUAGUUUCUAGGAUCCUUGAGGAAUUUCCCAGUAAGGUUUAGCUCAAAGCACAGUCCUAAGUGUUAAAGAGAGUGGAAGACAUAAGAAAGGCACAAGUACUUGGUUGGUCUACACAGGCUCUUAACUUUUCUAUCGGCUCACAUUUAACUUAUUGGGGCAUCCCACAGAAAGAACUUACCUCACAUAGGAGGAGAUGAAGGAGUGUUUCUCCAGAGAGAGACCAAGUAUCUUGAUUCAGCUGAACCUAGAGGAUCAACCAACUGCCUCAGGAAAAGUGGACGCGGCAACUAAGGAUUCCAGUCCCUAGAAACUGGACAUCUACCUCUUGAAGAGACCAACUCAGAUGCCAUGAGGAGAGAUGUGGCUCAGCGGUUAAGAGCACUGACUGAUGUUCCAGAGGAACUGGGUUCAAUUCCCAGGCCAUCUGGAGUCCAGUCACACCAGGAAAAAAAAUAAAAUAAAUAAAUAAA